GCGCCCGUAGCUCAGUAGGAUAGAGCACCAGAUUCCUAAUCUGGGGGUCGUGGGUUCAAAUCCCGCCGGGCGCACCA
RNAcentral lists this transfer RNA (77 nucleotides) under Magnetovibrio sp. RNAcentral describes it as "tRNA-Arg". It matches the Rfam family "tRNA". Rfam says of the family: Transfer RNA (tRNA) molecules are approximately 80 nucleotides in length. Their secondary structure includes four short double-helical elements and three loops (D, anti-codon, and T loops). The record is from RNAcentral. Lineage: Bacteria; Pseudomonadati; Pseudomonadota; Alphaproteobacteria; Rhodospirillales; Magnetovibrionaceae.